GCCAGUGUGGUGAAAUUGGUAGACACGUCGGAUUCAAAAUCCGAUUCCUUCGGGAGUGCCGGUUCGAUUCCGGCCACUGGUACCA
Molecule: transfer RNA, 85 nt
Filed under: Oceanospirillum linum
Lineage: Bacteria; Pseudomonadati; Pseudomonadota; Gammaproteobacteria; Oceanospirillales; Oceanospirillaceae
Also listed under: 1 other name
Description: tRNA-Leu
Rfam family: tRNA
About the family: Transfer RNA (tRNA) molecules are approximately 80 nucleotides in length. Their secondary structure includes four short double-helical elements and three loops (D, anti-codon, and T loops). Further hydrogen bonds mediate the characteristic L-shaped molecular structure. tRNAs have two regions of fundamental functional importance: the anti-codon, which is responsible for specific mRNA codon recognition, and the 3' end, to which the tRNAs corresponding amino acid is attached (by aminoacyl-tRNA synthetases). tRNAs cope with the degeneracy of the genetic code in two manners: having more than one tRNA (with a specific anti-codon) for a particular amino acid; and 'wobble' base-pairing, i.e. permitting non-standard base-pairing at the 3rd anti-codon position.
Source: RNAcentral